AUACAUGUGCCUGUAUAUAUAU
RNAcentral lists this microRNA (22 nucleotides) under Drosophila melanogaster (fruit fly). RNAcentral describes it as "dme-miR-4979-3p". The record is from miRBase by way of RNAcentral. Lineage: Eukaryota; Metazoa; Arthropoda; Insecta; Diptera; Drosophilidae.